This 254-nucleotide ribosomal RNA is filed under the name uncultured bacterium. Its description in RNAcentral is "partial 16S ribosomal RNA". It matches the Rfam family "Bacterial small subunit ribosomal RNA", at positions 524 to 776 of the family's 1533-position model. The record is from RNAcentral.
UACGGGGGGGGGCAAGCGUUGUUCGGAAUUACUGGGCGUAAAGGGCUCGUAGGUGGCCAACUAAGUCAGACGUGAAAUCCCUCGGCUUAACCGGGGAACUGCGUCUGAUACUGGAUGGCUUGAGUUCGGGAGAGGGAUGCGGAAUUCCAGGUGUAGCGGUGAAAUGCGUAGAUAUCUGGAGGAACACCGGUGGCGAAGGCGGCAUCCUGGACCAACACUGACACUGAGGAGCGAAAGCCAGGGGAGCAAACGGG